UACGUAGGUUGCGAGCGUUGUCCGGAAUCACUGGGUGUAAAGCGCGUGUAGGCGGCCUGCCAAGUCUGCUGUGAAAGCGCCUGGCUUAACCGGGCGAGGUCGGUGGAAACUGGCGGGCUGGAGGACGGUAGAGGGGGGUGGAAUUCCUGGUGUAGCGGUGAAAUGCGCAGAUAUCAGGAGGAACACCGGUGGCGAAGGCGGGUCUCUGGGCCGAUACUGACGCUGAGGAGCGAAAGCGUGGGGAGCGAACAGG
This 253-nucleotide ribosomal RNA is filed under the name uncultured bacterium. RNAcentral's name for it is "partial 16S ribosomal RNA". It matches the Rfam family "Bacterial small subunit ribosomal RNA", at positions 524 to 776 of the family's 1533-position model. The record is from RNAcentral.